This is a long non-coding RNA of Jaculus jaculus (lesser Egyptian jerboa), 819 nucleotides long. RefSeq lists it as uncharacterized. The transcript is spliced from 7 exons. Lineage: Eukaryota; Metazoa; Chordata; Mammalia; Rodentia; Dipodidae. The record is from RefSeq and is a predicted model, not a curated record.
UUCCGGCCGGAUUUGUCUACAGUGGCUUGGGAUGCCCAGGUCAGGUUACUUCCCGCCAGGGGAACACAGCUGUCCCAUAGGACGUUUCUUCGAACCCGUGUGCCCGCAGGUGACCCCCAGUGGGAUUCCGAGUGUGGCCCGGGCACCAGCCUGUCCUGCUCCGUCCCCCGCAGGCCGAGGCCACUCAGCUUCCCAGGGGGCGGUGGAGGGCUUCGGCUGGAUCCCAUUUCUCGCGACCCACGACGGCCAGCGGGCGGAUGGACCGGGCUCAGGGAUAUGUGACCUUCAAGGAUGUGUUCAUGACCUUCUCCUGGGAGGAGUGGGGACUCCUUGAUGAGGUUCAGAGAUUCCUCUACCUUGAUGUGAUGCUGGAGAACUUUGCACUUAUGCCCACAAUUGCUUUAGCACCUCAGCAUUCUGGGUGCCACUUAACUGGGUGCUCCUAGAAUCUCUUACGGGGUUUCAGUUGAGCCAUCUGCCAGAGCUAUGGGGUCUUCUGAUGACCUAUCUGGAAGAAUCUACUCUCAAGGCUGUAGCAUGUGAGCGAGAGCCAUUGCCCAGGAUGGAAGCCCGAGAUUGUAGCCUAAUCUCGAAAAUGAUAUUCUAUCUUCUUUAUACCGGAGUCACUCAGUUAAGCCUGUAACAAGGGAAGAGGCUUACAUGAAGACCAGAGGACCAAUAGAGAUAAAUUCCAGGGUCCUAGGAAAGCACUGUGCCACUGACCACACGCCUCAACCUUCUCUCCUUUCUUGAAUUUCCAAAGUAGAUGGUGAUGGUAGAAACAGACUCUGGCCAGACUGUCAUUUCUGGGCUGGAGAG